RNAcentral lists this ribosomal RNA (431 nucleotides) under Phallales sp. Its description in RNAcentral is "SSU rRNA". It matches the Rfam family "Eukaryotic small subunit ribosomal RNA", at positions 1341 to 1791 of the family's 1831-position model. Lineage: Eukaryota; Fungi; Basidiomycota; Agaricomycetes; Phallales. The record is from RNAcentral.
CCUUCACGUGCUAAAUAGCCGGUCGGGCCAAGGCCCGUCCCAGGCUUCUUAGACGGACUAUCGGCGUCUAGCCGAUGGAAGUUGGAGGCAAUAACAGGUCUGUGAUGCCCUUAGAUGUUCUGGGCCGCACGCGCGCUACACUGACAGGGCCAGCGAGUUUCCUACCUUGGCCGGAAGGUCUGGGUAAUCUUGUGAAACCCUGUCGUGCUGGGGAUAGAGCAUUGCAAUUAUCGCUCUUCAACGAGGAAUUCCUAGUAGGCGUGAGUCAUCAGCUCGCGUCGAUUACGUCCCUGCCCUUUGUACACACCGCCCGUCGCUACUACCGAUUGAACGGCUUAGUGAGGUCUUCGGAUUGGCUUUGGGGAGCCGGCGACGGCGCCCUGUCGUCGAGAAGUCGAUCAAACUUGGUCGUUUAGAGGAAGUAAAAGUCG